CGGCAGACGCUGUGUCUGUUGGCUUAAAUUUUGGUAUGGAAAAAUUAUGGAUGGUGUGUAUUUGACUAGUCAAAUACACACCAUCCAUAAUUUUUCCAGAUCAAAAGUCAAGUUAACAUACACAGCUACUCUC
Non-coding RNA from Malus domestica (apple), 133 nucleotides. Lineage: Eukaryota; Viridiplantae; Streptophyta; Magnoliopsida; Rosales; Rosaceae. The record is from RefSeq.